Oncorhynchus tshawytscha (Chinook salmon) is the source of this 311-nucleotide long non-coding RNA. Lineage: Eukaryota; Metazoa; Chordata; Actinopteri; Salmoniformes; Salmonidae. The record is from Ensembl.
GAAGAACUGUGUGAUGAUGUCAUCUCAGAUACAACAUUGGCAUCUUUGGCGGUAUAGAUGGAUUUUCAAGGAAGUUUACUUGCUCUGACUCUGGUCCCUGUCUCCAGUCCCACAUCUUGUCAUUCUGCUACUCUGUCCUGGAUUCCCCACUCUACUACUCCCUUGGAUUCCCCUCCGGACCUGCUUACCCUGUCCCAACCCCUCUCGCUCCAGCCUCAGCCUCCGCACCUGUUUUUUUACAAUCCGCCCGAGCUUCCCUUGACCCACACUCCAUCAUACCAUGUGUUUCAAUAAAUACCUUGGUUACUUCA